GGGAAACCUCGUCGCGGAAGGUUUUCCACUUUCUGUCUAUAUUUUCUGAAAAAUAUCCACAUUUUGCAUCGCAGUUUCGGCGUAUUUUUACAUUAGUUCGUACGUGUAAUCACUGUGUGUGUUCAUGGGGUUUAAUUUUACGUAGAAAGGGUGUUUUUUGUCGGGAAAGGUGUGACUAAAAAUAGAUCACUGCCCGAUAUACUCGUAGGGAAAUCUAGUGAGAGCUUUCCAUUCAUAAAUUACAUUCAUUUGGUGUCGGGCAGUGAAGUAAUACAGUUGGGAGAAGCGAUUUAACUGGUGAAUGACUAUAUCGUUCGGUGAUAAGAUUGGAGUGCUAAAAAGGAUCGAUAACCGGGCCACUGCCUGUCGACUGUGAAGAACUCGCGCCGGACACAAGAGAAAAAUGGCGACGGAAGGCGGACUGGCGCCCGGCGGCGAUGGGGACAUGCCGGUGGGCGGGCCCAAGACGCCGCAGCAGAUCGCCGCGCAGCGUCGCUUGCAGCAGACGCAGGCGCAGGUCGAUGAGGUGGUGGACAUAAUGAAGACGAACGUGGAGAAAGUGCUUGAGCGGGAUCAGAAACUCUCAGAACUUGAUGACCGAGCAGAUGCACUGCAACAGGGAGCAUCACAGUUUGAACAGCAGGCUGGCAAACUCAAAAGCAAAUUCUGGUUGCAAAAUCUAAAGAUGAUGAUAAUCGCAGCUGUUAUUGGAAUCAUCAUCCUGGCUCUAAUCAUCGCCAACUUUGUGUGAACAAGUUUCGGUCUGUAAACCAUCUGUAUGGAGGAUUGAGGCAGAGGUAUGGAUUAAGUACAGGAGACAUAAACAUCCCAUCUGCCGAGGCAUCAGCAAAGAACUUUGAAACUUUUGUUUUUAUUUUCCUAGUAAUUAGUGUUGUUAUUAAAUAUCCUCUGGAUAAUAUCACCAAAAUAUAUCCGAUGUUUUGCCUACUAAAUAUCAACUAUUUAUCCUAUCAAAACUUUUUGUAAAAUUUCGAAAUCACGCGUCUUUGACAUGAUUUCUUUUAUAUCACUAACAAAUGCUCUGUUUACUACGAAAUAUAGUAUUUUUAGAUGAUCUUUCUUUGUUAUAAAUUUUACCACAGAAAUUAAUAUUUGCUAUUAGAUAAGACUUAUCAAAAAUACAGUAAUAUCAUGAAUAUUUUCUUACUUUUUCGAAAAUAGGCUGUUAUUAAUGCAAUGGUAUUGAUUUCCAUUUGGACCAAAUUUCUUGAGUACCUAUUUAUUUUGAGUCGUUUCUUUUUGUACUUUUUUUAAACGUUAAAAUUGUUAACCUUUGAUAUUAUCUACUGUCUACCUAUACAAAUAUGUUUAUCUGCUUGUAAAUCCUACCACUUUAUAGGUGUUAUAUGAAUAGAUAUUUACACUUUAAUAAAUAUCGGUCCAUUUAUGAAAUGGGCGAACGCUUGGGCUGAUUCUGUAUUCAAAGUUCCGAGUAAUGACAAGUUACUGUAUUGUUCUGUUACAUAGCGUGUAUCGGGCCCAUGGUAGCACCACACUACGGUAUAGUGAAUUAUUUACCUACUAUGUUUUAAUCGCUUAUAUAGCUGUAAUCUAUAACCGUGAUCUCUAUUUGAAACGAAAAUUUGUACUUAAUCAAAUUGUUGUUUGUUUAAGUAAAAUUAAAUUAGAGUUAUAUUAAGGACUUGUGCUAUCUUGCGUUUUUACAUAAACUAUAAUCGUAACUGGCCAAUAUUUUUAAAAAUAUAUAAUCUAUCCUGUGUAACUACAACAAAUAAUGCAUUAAAUAUCUUUUUACUGUGUGUGUAUUAAUGUAUGUAAAAACAGCUUUGUAGUUAGAAAUUGUAAAAAUUCACACUAGGUAAUUAGAUGUUUCAAAUAAAUAGCCACUCAUUAGUAAUAUUAAUCGUGGCAAGACUACUGUUGGUCGUUAACGGCUUACUGCGCCACACAUUCAAUUAUGAAAAAAACCUUUUCAAGCACUGCAAACUGCAAUGCACUAUCGCAUUGCCAUCGAUUUUAAUAACCACAUAAGUACUCCAUACAAACACAAUUAAUGCUAGUACGACCAAACGUAGUCCUGCCUUACAUUUACGAUAUAGAAUAGUAUUGGGAAAUUGGCCAGUACUACAUAAAUAUAGGGGGAUGGGAUUUACAUUAUCAUACGGAAAUCGGUUCUCUACAUAGGUAAAUAUUCAUAUCAUGUACGGAGACCGAUUUUUAAUAAAAAAGUACGUAAGUUGCACAUCGUCAUUGUUGACAGUCUCAUUAGGGGGAGAAAAUUAGAUCGUAAUUUUUAAGUAUGACGCCACGGUUUUGAAACACAAUAUUUUUGAAAUUGGAAAACGGUUAACACGCGGGAGUUUUUAGAUAUUUUCUUGCCAGUAUCUUGAAAGUUUUGCAGCCUUUUUUAAUACCAACACCAUCAUCUUCAAUGUAGUCUAAGCUCCAUGUUUCUACCAUUUCAUAAGAAAGCCUAAAAUGCAUAGACUUUUAAAAUAAUGUAAAUAAUUUUCUCAAGACACAAGCUGCAAAAUGAUGCUCUCUAAAACCAUCAUCGGAGAGACUUGUCACCAUUCAAAGAGCAAAGUCCAAGAAAAUUGGUAAAGUUUUGGGUAAGUCAAUAUCCCUACUCAAAAAAAGGUCAAGAGUAAAGUUUGCCUUUUACAAACAUAGGUUAAACUUUAUGGUAUUGUGUUUCAAGAACGAUGGCACCCAACAUUCACUGUAAGGUAAAAUGAUAACACACCAGAAGUAUGUUAUGGGAUUAGAUAAUAAAUUGGCUGUUACUUAUAGCGUUGUUUACAUUAUGACGUCAGAGCGUCACUAGUUACCGUCGCUGCGCUAUAUAUUUUAAACAACAUUGUAGGUAAGCCAUAGCUAUAAGCAUUGUGGUCAUAAAAUAUAAUAAUUAAAUGAAAUAAAAAUGUUGUAACUGA
This 2918-nucleotide unclassified non-coding RNA is filed under the name Helicoverpa zea (corn earworm). RNAcentral describes it as "vesicle-associated membrane protein 2, transcript variant X2". The record is from RNAcentral. Lineage: Eukaryota; Metazoa; Arthropoda; Insecta; Lepidoptera; Noctuidae.